RNAcentral lists this ribosomal RNA (496 nucleotides) under uncultured bacterium. RNAcentral describes it as "partial 16S ribosomal RNA". It matches the Rfam family "Bacterial small subunit ribosomal RNA", at positions 29 to 507 of the family's 1533-position model. The record is from RNAcentral.
AUGAACGCUGGCGGCGUGCCUAAUACAUGCAAGUCGAGCGAACGGACGAGAAGCUUGCUUCUCUGAUGUUAGCGGCGGACGGGUGAGUAACACGUGGAUAACCUACCUAUAAGACUGGGAUAACUUCGGGAAACCGGAGCUAAUACCGGAUGAUAUUUUGAACCGCAUGGUUCAAAAGUGAAAGACGGUCUUGCUGUCACUUAUAGAUGGAUCCGCGCUGCAUUAGCUAGUUGGUAAGGUAACGGCUUACCAAGGCAACGAUGCAUAGCCGACCUGAGAGGGUGAUCGGCCACACUGGAACUGAGACACGGUCCAGACUCCUACGGGAGGCAGCAGUAGGGAAUCUUCCGCAAUGGGCGAAAGCCUGACGGAGCAACGCCGCGUGAGUGAUGAAGGUCUUCGGAUCGUAAAACUCUGUUAUUAGGGAAGAACAUAUGUGUAAGUAACAGUGCACAUCUUGACGGUACCUAAUCAGAAAGCCACGGCUAACUACGUG